UUUCCGUAGGUGAACCUGCGGAAGGAUCAUUACUAAGUAGUGGCCCUAUGGCUCUAUCCAACCACCCGUGUAUAUUGUACGUUGUUGCUUCAGUUAGCCCUCCUAACGGCCGCCGGGGGGAAUCUUCGCCCGGGCCCGCCCGAGCCGAAGACACGCUUGAACUCUGUUUGAAGUUUGCAUUCUGUGCGAAAACUAAAUAAGAAAAAAUUUUCAACAACGACUCUCUUGGUUCCAGCAUCAAUGAAGAACGCAGCAUGUCGGAAGAGCAGCAGUCUGAAA
RNAcentral lists this unclassified non-coding RNA (279 nucleotides) under plant metagenome. RNAcentral's name for it is "partial contains small subunit ribosomal RNA, internal transcribed spacer 1, and 5.8S ribosomal RNA". The record is from RNAcentral.